This 497-nucleotide ribosomal RNA is filed under the name uncultured bacterium. RNAcentral's name for it is "partial 16S ribosomal RNA". It matches the Rfam family "Bacterial small subunit ribosomal RNA", at positions 28 to 507 of the family's 1533-position model. The record is from RNAcentral.
GAUGAACGCUGGCGGCGUGCCUAAUACAUGCAAGUCGAGCGAACAGACGAGGAGCUUGCUCCUCUGACGUUAGCGGCGGACGGGUGAGUAACACGUGGAUAACCUACCUAUAAGACUGGGAUAACUUCGGGAAACCGGAGCUAAUACCGGAUAAUAUAUUGAACCGCAUGGUUCAAUAGUGAAAGACGGUUUUGCUGUCACUUAUAGAUGGAUCCGCGCCGCAUUAGCUAGUUGGUAAGGUAACGGCUUACCAAGGCAACGAUGCGUAGCCGACCGGAGAGGGUGAUCGGCCACACUGGAACUGAGACACGGUCCAGACUCCUACGGGAGGCAGCAGUAGGGAAUCUUCCGCAAUGGGCGAAAGCCUGACGGAGCAACGCCGCAUGAGUGAUGAAGGUCUUCGGAUCGUAAAACUCUGUUAUUAGGGAAGAACAAAUGUGUAAGUAACUAUGCACGUCUUGACGGUACCUAAUCAGAAAGCCACGGCUAACUACGUG